This is a long non-coding RNA of Homo sapiens (human), 220 nucleotides long. RefSeq lists it as uncharacterized. The transcript is spliced from 2 exons. The record is from RefSeq and is a predicted model, not a curated record. Lineage: Eukaryota; Metazoa; Chordata; Mammalia; Primates; Hominidae.
AAAGAAACAAACAAACAAAAAACACUUUUGAAGACAUAAGGGCUUGACAGAGGCAGUUUGUGCCUUCUUGCCCUUCUGCUCUGUGAGGACACGGCAUUCAAGAAGCCAUCUUAAAAGCAGAAAGCAGCCCUCACCAGACAACUAAACCUGCUAGCCCCUUGAUCUUGGACUCUCGGCCUCCAGAACUGUAAGAAAAUGAAUUUCUGUUCUUUGUAAAUUA